This 495-nucleotide ribosomal RNA is filed under the name uncultured bacterium. RNAcentral's name for it is "partial 16S ribosomal RNA". It matches the Rfam family "Bacterial small subunit ribosomal RNA", at positions 28 to 507 of the family's 1533-position model. The record is from RNAcentral.
GACGAACGCUGGCGGCGUGCCCAAUACAAGCAAGUAGAACGCUGAAGGAGGAGCUUGCUUCUCCGGAUGAGUUGCGAACGGGUGAGUAACGCGUAGGUAACCUGCCUGGUAGCGGGGGAUAACUAUUGGAAACGAUAGCUAAUACCGCAUAAGAGUAGAUGUCGCAUGACAUUUGCUUAAAAGGUGCAACUGCACCACUACCAGAUGGACCUGCGUUGUAUUAGCUAGUUGGUGGGGUAACGGCUCACCAAGGCAACGAUACAUAGCCGACCUGAGAGGGUGAUCGGCCACACUGGGACUGGGACACGGCCCAGACUCCUACGGGAGGCAGCAGUAGGGAAUCUUCGGCAAUGGACGGAAGUCUGACCGAGCAACGCCGCGUGAGUGAAGAAGGUUUUCGGAUCGUAAAGCUCUGUUGUAAGAGAAGAACGAGUGUGAGAGUGGAAAGUUCACACUGUGACGGUAUCUUACCAGAAAGGGACGGCUAACUACGUG